This 1285-nucleotide long non-coding RNA is filed under the name Homo sapiens (human). Its description in RNAcentral is "novel transcript". The record is from RNAcentral. Lineage: Eukaryota; Metazoa; Chordata; Mammalia; Primates; Hominidae.
CCAUCUAGGAGCCCUGCGGGAGGCAUGCAGGUAUUUCUCUGGAGGUCAUGCCUGGCAGGCGUCCACUGUUAGAGCCAGAGGACCCGGAGCAUUAUCUGAAUGAACUAAUGACCAACAGGCGGGCAGAAAUGAGUGCUGCGGAUUGAUAACAGGGACAGCCAGACCCCCUCCCAUCCCCACGAGGCAGAGGCACCAGGCCACCUGGCUUUCCCACACAUCAACCUCGUGCUCACACCCCACUCUGGAGACCACCAGCUUCGAGGCAAAAAGAGAGAACGACGUACAAUGGGCAUCUUCCCUCAUCCACCCCAUUUCAAAGAGGGUUCUGCUUGCAGGAACUCAAAGCUCAGAGCUUUUAGCUUCCCAAAGCCCUAUUUCCAAACUAAAGCAAAGGUCCUUUAGAAUUUGCACGGCGGGCUGUGCAAAAUGAGAGAGAAGGAAAUCGCUGGCAGAAAUAUCCCCGAAGAAGGGAUUUCUCCCCCAAAGACCAGAAAGCAAUUCUUCUAGGUUAGGGGAAUGAGGAGACAUACAGAGAAAACAAGAGGCUUGGGAGUUCCUCAUGAAAGGACUGGACCUGGAGUGGCCAUGCAGGAGAGGUGCAAGGGACUUGGAGCCCCUGAAGCUUCAGGAGAGCUGCGUGGCCCAUGUCCUGCUGCACCGGCAGCCAUCACGCCCAUGAGCCCUGCCUGUGUCCAGAAACAGUGCUGCUGUCCUUGACCUCGUCACUCUGCAAGGACUUCGCUUCCCCAGCAGGCAGUUCACCUCUGGAUACCCCUCCCUGAUGCAAACUUUGCUCAUGUCAUGUCUAUCAAGAUCAAGAAAAUGGAGCCCAUAACUGAGAUCAGCACAUGGGUAAGGAAACUGCUGAAUGGAAGGAGCUCCAAGACCUGGAACUGAGACCGAAGCUGGCAACAUGGCGGGAUGUUGCACCCCCCACACACACGCUCACACGUGGUUUUCAUUCCUUCUUUCAUAUUACGGCGGGCGUGGAAUUACCAGUCAAUUUGACAUUUAUAAAUACAUUAACUAGCGCUUCCAAUUCUUCUCCUGCUUCCAAGUUUGUUCUCACCACCUCACAGAAAAUGCUGGGGACAGAAUUAAAUGCAGAGUAAUCUAAACAAGCUUUGAUAUGUCAUAUGUCUUUCCUACUGAAUAAGCUAAACCAACCAGGGUAAUUUAGUGAUACUUGGGCAAGAAAACUAGGAAUUACGCACACUUUCCUUUUCCAAAUUCCCCACAUGGAAGUCUGUGAAUUCUACUGCAAUUACAGUGGUAUAAUAAAAAA